GGCGCUGUAGUCCAAUAGGCAGGAGACGACGAACUCAAAAUUCGUACAGUGUGGAUUCGAAUUCCACCGGCGCUA
This 75-nucleotide transfer RNA is filed under the name Herelleviridae sp. RNAcentral's name for it is "tRNA-Leu". It matches the Rfam family "tRNA". Rfam says of the family: Transfer RNA (tRNA) molecules are approximately 80 nucleotides in length. Their secondary structure includes four short double-helical elements and three loops (D, anti-codon, and T loops). Further hydrogen bonds mediate the characteristic L-shaped molecular structure. tRNAs have two regions of fundamental functional importance: the anti-codon, which is responsible for specific mRNA codon recognition, and the 3' end, to which the tRNAs corresponding amino acid is attached (by aminoacyl-tRNA synthetases). tRNAs cope with the degeneracy of the genetic code in two manners: having more than one tRNA (with a specific anti-codon) for a particular amino acid; and 'wobble' base-pairing, i.e. permitting non-standard base-pairing at the 3rd anti-codon position. Lineage: Duplodnaviria; Heunggongvirae; Uroviricota; Caudoviricetes; Herelleviridae. The record is from RNAcentral.